Sphaeramia orbicularis (orbiculate cardinalfish) is the source of this 716-nucleotide long non-coding RNA. RefSeq lists it as uncharacterized. The record is from RefSeq and is a predicted model, not a curated record. Lineage: Eukaryota; Metazoa; Chordata; Actinopteri; Kurtiformes; Apogonidae. The transcript has 3 exons.
UCUCUCUGCAAGGCGCGCACCACCACCACCACCACCACCACCUCCUCCUCCUCCUCUUCCUCCUCCUCCACUACCGGAGAGCCCCACACGCUGCUGAACCACCGGCCGCCUUGCGAGCACCCUAAAGCCGGCAGACGAGCGACCCAGGCCGGGCAACAGGAGCGGGGAUUCACCGCAGCUGAUGACCCCCCCCCUCCCCUCUCUCUCUCUCUCUCUCUCUCUCUCUCCUCUCCCCACUACUCCUUCUUCUCACCCAGCUGGGACUAAAUAACCAAACGGAGAGUUGGCCCCGGAUACAAAGAGUCCGACAAGAGUCGUAGCUACGGCGUCCCGUAGCCAGCCUUGGCGUUCGUCAUCCUCAGAGUUUCUCUUCAUCCAACCCAACCGGACUCCUCCUCUUCCCAACCUUCCUCUUCUCUGGUCUUCUCACCUUCAUCUUCUCUGUGACUUUAUUCAUCACCUCCCGUCCUCCACUUCUUCUCCUUCGUCCCCCCUUUGACCCCAAGUUCAAUCAUGGCGUCCAAGCUGAACCCCAACGUCCUGUACGUGGCCGAACCCGGCGAGUCGCUGGGAUCGCCUCAAGGAGACUCGGAGAGGACUCAUAUUGCUGGAGAACCCGGAGAAGAAUCAUCAGACAGUGACGGCGAACAAGAAGAAACCUCCCACAAACUGAUUCGCAAAGUGUCAACUUCGGGACAGAUUCGAGCCAAGGUAAG